GGGUAUAUUCAGAAGCAGGAGCCACGCGAGGGGAGCAGGCAGGUCACUCCUGUCCUGCAAAAAUCUUGCUAAGGAAAAGGGCCCCAUGCUGUUAUCGCUGGUCGAGAACGGCAGCUCCGGGAAAUCCGCUUCUGGAGCUCUCAAAAUGCUAUGAGUCUUGAUAAAUUGGAGAAGAGCCCAAGAGAAAUUCAUCAUCCUGAGCUACAAAAGAAUAUGGUUAAUAGAAGAUCCUUCAGUGAUGUGUUCCCAGAGUCCCCAAAAUCAACACGGAAGCAAGAGGAAGCUCGACAAGCAGAGUUUGUUCGGCUUGGUCAGUUAGGAUCACUGUAGAAGUCAUUAGGGAGUGAAAUAUGCCAGCUGCACUCCUCUGCAUGUGUUUUACAUACAGAAGGUUCACAAGUGCUUCUAGAAUUCCAGAGAUUCAACUAAUGUAUAAACUGGGAGAGGAGGGGCAGGCUCUGGGAGCCAGCCCCUCUCUGCCAUCGUCUCCUGAAUCUGCAGCAGAGCAGUUCCAGUCCAUCCGGGCACGUGUAAUCCAGUUCCUGAUGAUCUGAACACACAGAGAAGCACUCAGCUGCUGUGGGGGGCUCAGGGAAGGCAGAGUGUGCAUUGUCAUCUUCCUGAACCUACAGACAAAUCAAAGUGAGAAGCCACAGCGUGGAAAUCAGUCGCAUAUAUGCUAAACAAAACUUGCAGAUUUAUUUAAGAAUUGUUUCUGCUUGUUCUUUGUUGUGCUUCUGUGCUUAGAAAACCUCCCUUUAAAAUCAGUUCAGUUCAUCAGUUGAACAUUUGUUUGCAGACCCUCAGUGAGCAGAAUUUGUUGCAGACUCAGUGCACGCUGUGCUGGCCUCUCGGGAGUGUGAGGAGCUCAUGUGUGCUACUUUUUGCUUUAGGACGCUCUGAGAUAUUUAUUCCUUUUGGGAUACAUGAUGAGAAUUCCCAAGAGAGGUAGUUAUAAGAAACUGCUGCCCAGCCAACUAGUAACUGAAUAUCUAUCUGUAUGGGACAUGAGGAGAGGAUUUAGAGAAAGAUGUUUGUAAAAACACGAACGAACGACGCCUCCUUCGGCCGAAUGGAACGAGCUCAGCCGAACCAAGGCGAGACCGGCCGAACCUGGCGGCCUCGAGCGAACCGAGGCCAGGCUUGCGAGGCUGCCUGAACG
Long non-coding RNA from Melospiza melodia melodia, 1162 nucleotides. RefSeq lists it as uncharacterized. Lineage: Eukaryota; Metazoa; Chordata; Aves; Passeriformes; Passerellidae. The record is from RefSeq and is a predicted model, not a curated record. The transcript is spliced from 7 exons.